This 551-nucleotide ribosomal RNA is filed under the name uncultured bacterium. Its description in RNAcentral is "bacterial SSU rRNA". It matches the Rfam family "Bacterial small subunit ribosomal RNA", at positions 355 to 896 of the family's 1533-position model. The record is from RNAcentral.
UGGGGAAUAUUGCGCAAUGGACGAAAGUCUGACGCAGCAACGCCGCGUGAGUGAUGAAGGUCUUCGGAUCGUAAAGCUCUGUCGGCAGGAACGAUGUUUUUGAGAGCUAAUAUCUCUCAGAAUUGACGGUACCUGCAAAGGAAGCACCGGCUAACUCUGUGCCAGCAGCCGCGGUAAUACAGAGGGUGCAAGCGUUGUUCGGAAUCAUUGGGCGUAAAGGGCGCGUAGGCGGUUGAUUAAGUUGAAUGUGAAAGCCCGGGGCUCAACCUCGGAAGUGCAUUCAAAACUAGUCAACUAGAGUUCCGCAGAGGAUGGUAGAAUUCCCAGUGUAGAGGUGAAAUUCGUAGAUAUUGGGAGGAAUACCAGUGGCGAAGGCGACCACCUGGACGGAUACUGACGCUGAGGCGCGAAAGCGUGGGUAGCAAACAGGAUUAGAUACCCUGGUAGUCCACGCCGUAAACAAUGGAUACUAGUUGUUGUGGGUAUUGACCCCUACAGUGACGCAGCUAACGCAAUAAGUAUCCCGCCUGGGAAGUACGGCCGCAAGGCUA